Oncorhynchus tshawytscha (Chinook salmon) is the source of this 868-nucleotide long non-coding RNA. The record is from Ensembl. NCBI's taxonomy places the organism in Eukaryota, Metazoa, Chordata, Actinopteri, Salmoniformes, Salmonidae.
GCGUGUGUGUGUUUGUGUGAGAGAAAGCGUGCGUGUGUUUGUAUGAGAGAAAGCGUGUGUGUGUUUGUAUGAGAGAAAGCGUGAGUGUGUUUGUAUGAGAGAAAGCGUGCGUGUGUUUGUAUGAGAGAAAGCGUGUGUGUGUUUGUGUGAGAGAAAGCGUGCGUGUGUUUGUGUGAGAGAAAGCGUGCGUGUGUUUGUGUGAGAGAAAGCCGUGCGUGUGUUUGUGUGAGAGAAAGCGUGUGUGUGUUUGUGUGAGAGAAAGCGUGCGUGUGUUUGUAUGAGAGAAAGCGUGCGUGUGUUUGUGUGAGAGAAAGCGUGUGUGUGUUUGUAUGAGAGAAAGCGUGCGUGUGUUUGUGUGAGAGAAAGCGUGCGUGUGUUUGUAUGAGAGAAAGCGUGUGUAUGAGAGAAAGCGUGUGUUUGUAUGAGAGAAAGCGCGCGUGUGUUUGUGUAGAGAAAGCCGUGUGUUUGUAUGAGAGAAAGCGUGUGUAUGAGAGAAAGCGUGUGUUUGUAUGAGAGAAAGCGCGCGUGUGUUUGUGUAAGAGAAAGCGUCCGUGUGUUUGUAUGAGAGAAAGCGCGCGUGUGUUUGUGUAAGAGAAAGCGUGCGUGUGUUUGUGUGAGAGAAAGCGUGUGUAUGAGAGAAAGCGUGUGUUUGUAUGAGAGAAAGCGCGCGUGUGUUUGUGUAAGAGAAAGCGUGCGUGUGUUUGUGUGAGAGAAAGCGUGCGUGUGUUUGUGUGAGAGAAAGCGUGCGUCUGUUUGUGUGAGAGAAAGCGUGCAUGUGUUUGUGUGAGACAAAGCAUGCGUGUGUUUGUGUGAGAGAAAGCGUGCGUCUGUUUGUGUGAGAGAAAGCGUGCGUGUGUUUGUAUGAGAG